RNAcentral lists this long non-coding RNA (388 nucleotides) under Lathyrus oleraceus (garden pea). RNAcentral's name for it is "Pisum sativum (pea) long non-coding RNA (PSAT_LNC031734)". Lineage: Eukaryota; Viridiplantae; Streptophyta; Magnoliopsida; Fabales; Fabaceae. The record is from RNAcentral.
UUUAUCUCAACAGUCAACUCCGGCCUACGCAUCCUCUACGUAGGGGACCGAUGCAAAUAAGUGAAUGAUCCAGAAAAACAAAAAAACAAAAGAAAGCAAAAAGGCAACUCCGGUAUAGGUGACCCUCACAAAGUCAUUUAAACCAAAUAAUUGUAAAAAUUUGCUACAAAAAGAAAAAGAAAAAGAAAAAGAAAAAGAAAAACUUACCCACUGUUAGUUGGUUCAGAGGUAUCUGGCACUGAACUCGGUAGGGCGGAUUACGAUCCGAUCCCCCACAACUUCAGUUGGAUCCAAUAAAAGGGUUUACACAUAUUUAUGUGCCAGAAACCCCAUGCUCAGAUCAUAAUCACUAACAUGCCACUCUACUAUGAAGCAUGUACGGAUAACG